UAGGGAAUAUUGGACAAUGGGCGCAAGCCUGAUCCAGCCAUCCCGCGUGAAGGAUUAAGGUCCUAUGGAUUGUAAACUUCUUUUCUCUGGGAAUAAAAAGUGGGAUUCAUCCUGCCUUGAAGGUACCAGAGGAAUAAGCACCGGCUAACUCCGUGCCAGCAGCCGCGGUAAUACGGAGGGUGCAAGCGUUAUCCGGAUUCACUGGGUUUAAAGGGUGCGUAGGUGGCUUUGUAAGUCAGUGGUGAAAGCCCGGAGCUCAACUCCGGAACUGCCAUUGAUACUGCUUAGCUUGAAUCAGGUCGAGGUGGAUGGAAUAUUACAUGUAGCGGUGAAAUGCUUAGAUAUGUAAUAGAACACCGAUUGCGAAGGCAGUUCACUAGGCCUGUAUUGACACUGAGGCACGAAAGCGUGGGGAUCAAACAGGAUUAGAUACCCCUGUAGUCC
RNAcentral lists this ribosomal RNA (444 nucleotides) under uncultured bacterium. Its description in RNAcentral is "bacterial SSU rRNA". It matches the Rfam family "Bacterial small subunit ribosomal RNA", at positions 355 to 796 of the family's 1533-position model. The record is from RNAcentral.